CGAUGGUAGCUUGCUACCAGGCGUCGAGCGGCGGACGGGUGAGUAAUACUUAGGAAUCUACCUAGUAGUGGGGGAUAGCACGGGGAAACUCGUAUUAAUACCGCAUACGACCUACGGGAGAAAGGGGGCAGUUUACUGCUCUCGCUAUUAGAUGAGCCUAAGUCGGAUUAGCUAGAUGGUGGGGUAAAGGCCUACCAUGGCGACGAUCUGUAGCUGGUCUGAGAGGAUGAUCAGCCACACCGGGACUGAGACACGGCCCGGACUCCUACGGGAGGCAGCAGUGGGGAAUAUUGGACAAUGGGGGAAACCCUGAUCCAGCCAUGCCGCGUGUGUGAAGAAGGCCUUUUGGUUGUAAAGCACUUUAAGCAGUGAAGAAGACUCUUCGGUUAAUACCCGGAGACGAUGACAUUAGCUGCAGAAUAAGCACCGGCUAACUCUGUGCCAGCAGCCGCGGUAAUACAGAGGGUGCAAGCGUUAAUCGGAAUUACUGGGCGUAAAGCGAGCGUAGGUGGCUUGAUAAGUCAGAUGUGAAAUCCCCGGGCUUAACCUGGGAACUGCAUCUGAAACUGUUAGGCUAGAGUAGGUGAGAGGGAAGUAGAAUUUCAGGUGUAGCGGUGAAAUGCGUAGAGAUCUGAAGGAAUACCGAUGGCGAAGGCAGCUUCCUGGCAUCAUACUGACACUGAGGCUCGAAAGCGUGGGUAGCAAACAGGAUUAGAUACCCUGGUAGUCCACGCCGUAAACGAUGUCUACUAGUCG
This 756-nucleotide ribosomal RNA is filed under the name Psychrobacter sp. BAL291. Its description in RNAcentral is "bacterial SSU rRNA". It matches the Rfam family "Bacterial small subunit ribosomal RNA", at positions 69 to 822 of the family's 1533-position model. The record is from RNAcentral. Lineage: Bacteria; Pseudomonadati; Pseudomonadota; Gammaproteobacteria; Moraxellales; Moraxellaceae.